RNAcentral lists this ribosomal RNA (433 nucleotides) under uncultured bacterium. Its description in RNAcentral is "partial 16S ribosomal RNA". It matches the Rfam family "Bacterial small subunit ribosomal RNA", at positions 29 to 507 of the family's 1533-position model. The record is from RNAcentral.
AGCGAACGCUGGCGGCAGGCCUAACACAUGCAAGUCGAACGAACUCUUCGGAGUUAGUGGCGGACGGGGGGGUAACACGUGGGAACGUGCCUUUUGGUUCGGAAUAACUCAGGGAAACUUGUGCUAAUACCGAAUGUGCCCUUCGGGGGAAAGAUUUAUCGCCAUUAGAGCGGCCCGCGUCUGAUUAGCUAGUUGGUGAGGUAACGGCUCACCAAGGCGACGAUCAGUAGCUGGUCUGAGAGGAUGACCAGCCACACUGGGACUGAGACACGGCCCAGACUCCUACGCGAGGCAGCAGUGGGGAAUAUUGCGCAAUGGGCGAAAGCCUGACGCAGCCAUGCCGCGUGAAUGAUGAAGGUCUUAGGAUUGUAAAAUUCUUUCACCGGGGACGAUAAUGACGGUACCCGGAGAAGAAGCCCCGGCUAACUUCGUG